This 253-nucleotide ribosomal RNA is filed under the name uncultured bacterium. RNAcentral's name for it is "partial 16S ribosomal RNA". It matches the Rfam family "Bacterial small subunit ribosomal RNA", at positions 524 to 776 of the family's 1533-position model. The record is from RNAcentral.
UACGAACCGUACAAACGUUAUUCGGAAUUACUGGGCGUAAAGCGUGCGCAGGCGGUUUGCUAAGAGAGAUGUGAAAUCCCCGGGCUUAACCUGGGAACUGCGUUUCUAACUGGCAGGCUUGAGUGUGGCAGAGGGGGGUGGAAUUCCACGUGUAGCAGUGAAAUGCGUAGAGAUGUGGAGGAACACCGAUGGCGAAGGCAGCCCCCUGGGCUAACACUGACGCUCAUGCACGAAAGCGUGGGGAGCAAACGGG